AUACUGUUGUUUUUCUUCAGGUUGCAUAAAUCUUUUGCCUUUUACUAAAGAUUUCCAUGGAGAGGAACAACUCUGAGUUUUUAACUGAUUUCUUGAGGCUUUGCUUUGGCAGGGUU
This is a small nuclear RNA of Lemur catta (Ring-tailed lemur), 116 nucleotides long. RefSeq annotates it as U5 spliceosomal RNA. The transcript has a single exon. Lineage: Eukaryota; Metazoa; Chordata; Mammalia; Primates; Lemuridae. The record is from RefSeq and is a predicted model, not a curated record.